AGUUUGAUCAUGGCUCAGAACGUACGCUGGCGGCACGCCUAACACAUGCAAGUCGAACGCAGUAGCAAUACUGAGUGGCAAACGGGUGAGUAUAAUGUGGGAAUCUGCCUUUUGGUUCGGAAUAACACGAGGAAACUUGUGCUAAUACCGGAUAAGCCCUUACGGGGAAAGUUUUAAUGCCAAAAGAUGAGCCCGCACUUGAUUAGCUAGUUGGUAAGGUAAUGGCUUACCAAGGCAACGAUCAAUAGCUGUUCUUAGAGGAAGACCAGCCACAUUGGGACUGAGACACGGCCCAAACUCCUACGGGAGGCAGCAGUGGGGAAUCUUGCACAAUGGGGGAAACCCUGAUGCAGCGAUGCCGCGUGAGUGAAGAAGGCCCUUGGGUUGUAAAA
RNAcentral lists this ribosomal RNA (392 nucleotides) under uncultured Alphaproteobacteria bacterium. Its description in RNAcentral is "bacterial SSU rRNA". It matches the Rfam family "Bacterial small subunit ribosomal RNA", at positions 10 to 430 of the family's 1533-position model. The record is from RNAcentral. Lineage: Bacteria; Pseudomonadati; Pseudomonadota; Alphaproteobacteria.